This 2802-nucleotide ribosomal RNA is filed under the name Escherichia coli. RNAcentral's name for it is "partial 23S ribosomal RNA". It matches the Rfam family "Bacterial large subunit ribosomal RNA". Lineage: Bacteria; Pseudomonadati; Pseudomonadota; Gammaproteobacteria; Enterobacterales; Enterobacteriaceae. The record is from RNAcentral.
GGGUUGUGAGGUUAAGCGACUAAGCGUACACGGUGGAUGCCCUGGCAGUCAGAGGCGAUGAAGGACGUGCUAAUCUGCGAUAAGCGUCGGUAAGGUGAUAUGAACCGUUAUAACCGGCGAUUUCCGAAUGGGGAAACCCAGUGUGAUUCGUCACACUAUCAUUAACUGAAUCCAUAGGUUAAUGAGGCGAACCGGGGGAACUGAAACAUCUAAGUACCCCGAGGAAAAGAAAUCAACCGAGAUUCCCCCAGUAGCGGCGAGCGAACGGGGAGCAGCCCAGAGCCUGAAUCAGUGUGUGUGUUAGUGGAAGCGUCUGGAAAGGCGCGCGAUACAGGGUGACAGCCCCGUACACAAAAAUGCACAUGCUGUGAGCUCGAUGAGUAGGGCGGGACACGUGGUAUCCUGUCUGAAUAUGGGGGGACCAUCCUCCAAGGCUAAAUACUCCUGACUGACCGAUAGUGAACCAGUACCGUGAGGGAAAGGCGAAAAGAACCCCGGCGAGGGGAGUGAAAAAGAACCUGAAACCGUGUACGUACAAGCAGUGGGAGCACGCUUAGGCGUGUGACUGCGUACCUUUUGUAUAAUGGGUCAGCGACUUAUAUUCUGUAGCAAGGUUAACCGAAUAGGGGAGCCGAAGGGAAACCGAGUCUUAACUGGGCGUUAAGUUGCAGGGUAUAGACCCGAAACCCGGUGAUCUAGCCAUGGGCAGGUUGAAGGUUGGGUAACACUAACUGGAGGACCGAACCGACUAAUGUUGAAAAAUUAGCGGAUGACUUGUGGCUGGGGGUGAAAGGCCAAUCAAACCGGGAGAUAGCUGGUUCUCCCCGAAAGCUAUUUAGGUAGCGCCUCGUGAAUUCAUCUCCGGGGGUAGAGCACUGUUUCGGCAAGGGGGUCAUCCCGACUUACCAACCCGAUGCAAACUACGAAUACCGGAGAAUGUUAUCACGGGAGACACACGGCGGGUGCUAACGUCCGUCGUGAAGAGGGAAACAACCCAGACCGCCAGCUAAGGUCCCAAAGUCAUGGUUAAGUGGGAAACGAUGUGGGAAGGCCCAGACAGCCAGGAUGUUGGCUUAGAAGCAGCCAUCAUUUAAAGAAAGCGUAAUAGCUCACUGGUCGAGUCGGCCUGCGCGGAAGAUGUAACGGGGCUAAACCAUGCACCGAAGCUGCGGCAGCGACGCUUAUGCGUUGUUGGGUAGGGGAGCGUUCUGUAAGCCUGUGAAGGUGUACUGUGAGGUAUGCUGGAGGUAUCAGAAGUGCGAAUGCUGACAUAAGUAACGAUAAAGCGGGUGAAAAGCCCGCUCGCCGGAAGACCAAGGGUUCCUGUCCAACGUUAAUCGGGGCAGGGUGAGUCGACCCCUAAGGCGAGGCCGAAAGGCGUAGUCGAUGGGAAACAGGUUAAUAUUCCUGUACUUGGUGUUACUGCGAAGGGGGGACGGAGAAGGCUAUGUUGGCCGGGCGACGGUUGUCCCGGUUUAAGCGUGUAGGCUGGUUUUCCAGGCAAAUCCGGAAAAUCAAGGCUGAGGCGUGAUGACGAGGCACUACGGUGCUGAAGCAACAAAUGCCCUGCUUCCAGGAAAAGCCUCUAAGCAUCAGGUAACAUCAAAUCGUACCCCAAACCGACACAGGUGGUCAGGUAGAGAAUACCAAGGCGCUUGAGAGAACUCGGGUGAAGGAACUAGGCAAAAUGGUGCCGUAACUUCGGGAGAAGGCACGCUGAUAUGUAGGUGAAGUCCCUCGCGGAUGGAGCUGAAAUCAGUCGAAGAUACCAGCUGGCUGCAACUGUUUAUUAAAAACACAGCACUGUGCAAACACGAAAGUGGACGUAUACGGUGUGACGCCUGCCCGGUGCCGGAAGGUUAAUUGAUGGGGUUAGCGCAAGCGAAGCUCUUGAUCGAAGCCCCGGUAAACGGCGGCCGUAACUAUAACGGUCCUAAGGUAGCGAAAUUCCUUGUCGGGUAAGUUCCGACCUGCACGAAUGGCGUAAUGAUGGCCAGGCUGUCUCCACCCGAGACUCAGUGAAAUUGAACUCGCUGUGAAGAUGCAGUGUACCCGCGGCAAGACGGAAAGACCCCGUGAACCUUUACUAUAGCUUGACACUGAACAUUGAGCCUUGAUGUGUAGGAUAGGUGGGAGGCUUUGAAGUGUGGACGCCAGUCUGCAUGGAGCCGACCUUGAAAUACCACCCUUUAAUGUUUGAUGUUCUAACGUGGACCCGUAAUCCGGGUUGCGGACAGUGUCUGGUGGGUAGUUUGACUGGGGCGGUCUCCUCCUAAAGAGUAACGGAGGAGCACGAAGGUUGGCUAAUCCUGGUCGGACAUCAGGAGGUUAGUGCAAUGGCAUAAGCCAGCUUGACUGCGAGCGUGACGGCGCGAGCAGGUGCGAAAGCAGGUCAUAGUGAUCCGGUGGUUCUGAAUGGAAGGGCCAUCGCUCAACGGAUAAAAGGUACUCCGGGGAUAACAGGCUGAUACCGCCCAAGAGUUCAUAUCGACGGCGGUGUUUGGCACCUCGAUGUCGGCUCAUCACAUCCUGGGGCUGAAGUAGGUCCCAAGGGUAUGGCUGUUCGCCAUUUAAAGUGGUACGCGAGCUGGGUUUAGAACGUCGUGAGACAGUUCGGUCCCUAUCUGCCGUGGGCGCUGGAGAAUUGAGGGGGGCUGCUCCUAGUACGAGAGGACCGGAGUGGACGCAUCACUGGUGUUCGGGUUGUCAUGCCAAUGGCACUGCCCGGUAGCUAAAUGCGGAAGAGAUAAGUGCUGAAAGCAUCUAAGCACGAAACUUGCCCCGAGAUGAGUUCUCCCUGAC